ACGAACGCUGGCGGCGUGCUUAACACAUGCAAGUCGGACGAGAAAGCUCUUCGGAGUGAGUAGAGUGGCGCACGGGUGAGUAAUAGAUAGGAACGUACCGAGUAGAGGGGGAUAACCACGGGAAACUGUGGCUAAUACCGCAUGAUAUCGGGAGAUCAAAGGAGGCCUCUCCAUGGAAGCUUUCGCUAUUUGAACGGCCUAUCUCCCAUUAGCUAGUUGGUGGAGUAAAGGUUUACCAAGGCGACGAUGGGUAGCUGGUCUGAGAGGAUGAUCAGCCACACUGGAACUGAGACACGGUCCAGACUCCUACGGGAGGCAGCAGUGGGGAAUCUUGCACAAUGGGCGCAAGCCUGAUGCAGCAACGCCGCGUGGGUGAAGAAGGCUCUUGGGUCGUAAAGCCCUUUCGACUGGGAAGAGGGGUUUUGGUUUUAAUACAACUAGAAUUUGACGGUACCAGCAGAAGAAGCACUGGCUAAUUCCGU
RNAcentral lists this ribosomal RNA (482 nucleotides) under uncultured bacterium. Its description in RNAcentral is "bacterial SSU rRNA". It matches the Rfam family "Bacterial small subunit ribosomal RNA", at positions 29 to 506 of the family's 1533-position model. The record is from RNAcentral.